Molecule: ribosomal RNA, 799 nt
Filed under: uncultured bacterium
Lineage: Bacteria
Description: bacterial SSU rRNA
Rfam family: Bacterial small subunit ribosomal RNA
Source: RNAcentral
GCUAUACAUGCAGUCGACGGUAACAUGAGAGCUUGCUCUUGAUGACGAGUGGCGCACGGGUGCGUAACGCGUAUGCAACCUACCCUUUACUGGAGGAUAGCCCGAAGAAAUUCGGAUUAAUACUCCAUGGUAUCAUAAAGCAGCAUUGUUUAAUGAUUAAAGAUUUAUUGGUAAAGGAUGGGCAUGCGUGACAUUAGUUAGUUGGUGAGGUAACGGCUCACCAAGACGAUGAUGUCUAGGGGUUCUGAGAGGAUGAUCCCCCACACUGGUACUGAGACACGGACCAGACUCCUACGGGAGGCAGCAGUAGGGAAUAUUGGUCAAUGGGCGAGAGCCUGAACCAGCCAUGCCGCGUGUAGGAAGACGGCCUUCUGGGUUGUAAACUACUUUUAUAUAGGAACAAAAAGGUCAUGCGUGACAAACUGAGUGUACUAUAUGAAUAAGCACCGGCUAACUCCGUGCCAGCAGCCGCGGUAAUACGGAGGGUGCAAGCGUUGUCCGGAUUUAUUGGGUUUAAAGGGUGCGUAGGUGGCGUGUUAAGUCAGUGGUGAAAUCCUGCAGCUCAACUGUAGAGGUGCCAUUGAUACUGACAUGCUUGAGUAUGGACGAGGUAGGCGGAAUUUGUGGUGUAGCGGUGAAAUGCAUAGAUACCACAAAGAACACCGAUAGCGAAGGCAGCUUACUGGACCAUAACUGACACUGAGGCACGAAAGUGUGGGUAGCGAACAGGAUUAGAUACCCUGGUAGUCCACACCGUAAACGAUGCUCACUCGAUGUAUGCGAUACACUGUAUGCGUCC